UCAGCAACUUGGCCUUUUGGCUGAGAUCAAGUGUAGUAUCUGUUCUUAUCUGUUCAUGGCAGGUGGUGUGGUGGUUAAGAUGCUAGACUCUCA
RNAcentral lists this small nuclear RNA (93 nucleotides) under Tupaia belangeri (northern tree shrew). RNAcentral's name for it is "U2 spliceosomal RNA (ENSTBEG00000021188.1)". Lineage: Eukaryota; Metazoa; Chordata; Mammalia; Scandentia; Tupaiidae. The record is from RNAcentral.